This is a long non-coding RNA of Dioscorea cayenensis subsp. rotundata (Guinea yam), 232 nucleotides long. RefSeq lists it as uncharacterized. The transcript is spliced from 3 exons. Lineage: Eukaryota; Viridiplantae; Streptophyta; Magnoliopsida; Dioscoreales; Dioscoreaceae. The record is from RefSeq and is a predicted model, not a curated record.
UCAUCAAUGACGGCUGAGAAAGCCCUAGCUCUGCUCCGAAGAAGGCUACGCGAUCUGAACUUCGCUUAUGGAUCCUUCAAAUCGUCUCCAGAUAGCAACUCGAGGUUGUGGAGCUUGUUCUUGGAGAUUUGAGUGCUGAAUAUCCAGAUAUGAUUUUUGUGAUGUUCUGUUUAUCAUCAAGGAAAUUGCAAGGCAAUUAUGUUUGGAGCAUCGGUUCUUAUUCUCAAAAAUG